RNAcentral lists this ribosomal RNA (1536 nucleotides) under Klebsiella variicola. RNAcentral's name for it is "bacterial SSU rRNA". The record is from RNAcentral. Lineage: Bacteria; Pseudomonadati; Pseudomonadota; Gammaproteobacteria; Enterobacterales; Enterobacteriaceae.
UUGAAGAGUUUGAUCAUGGCUCAGAUUGAACGCUGGCGGCAGGCCUAACACAUGCAAGUCGAGCGGUAGCACAGAGAGCUUGCUCUCGGGUGACGAGCGGCGGACGGGUGAGUAAUGUCUGGGAAACUGCCUGAUGGAGGGGGAUAACUACUGGAAACGGUAGCUAAUACCGCAUAAYGUCGCAAGACCAAAGUGGGGGACCUUCGGGCCUCAUGCCAUCAGAUGUGCCCAGAUGGGAUUAGCUAGUAGGUGGGGUAACGGCUCACCUAGGCGACGAUCCCUAGCUGGUCUGAGAGGAUGACCAGCCACACUGGAACUGAGACACGGUCCAGACUCCUACGGGAGGCAGCAGUGGGGAAUAUUGCACAAUGGGCGCAAGCCUGAUGCAGCCAUGCCGCGUGUGUGAAGAAGGCCUUCGGGUUGUAAAGCACUUUCAGCGGGGAGGAAGGCGRURAGGUUAAUAACCUYRYCGAUUGACGUUACCCGCAGAAGAAGCACCGGCUAACUCCGUGCCAGCAGCCGCGGUAAUACGGAGGGUGCAAGCGUUAAUCGGAAUUACUGGGCGUAAAGCGCACGCAGGCGGUCUGUCAAGUCGGAUGUGAAAUCCCCGGGCUCAACCUGGGAACUGCAUUCGAAACUGGCAGGCUAGAGUCUUGUAGAGGGGGGUAGAAUUCCAGGUGUAGCGGUGAAAUGCGUAGAGAUCUGGAGGAAUACCGGUGGCGAAGGCGGCCCCCUGGACAAAGACUGACGCUCAGGUGCGAAAGCGUGGGGAGCAAACAGGAUUAGAUACCCUGGUAGUCCACGCUGUAAACGAUGUCGAUUUGGAGGUUGUGCCCUUGAGGCGUGGCUUCCGGAGCUAACGCGUUAAAUCGACCGCCUGGGGAGUACGGCCGCAAGGUUAAAACUCAAAUGAAUUGACGGGGGCCCGCACAAGCGGUGGAGCAUGUGGUUUAAUUCGAUGCAACGCGAAGAACCUUACCUGGUCUUGACAUCCACAGAACUUUCCAGAGAUGGAUUGGUGCCUUCGGGAACUGUGAGACAGGUGCUGCAUGGCUGUCGUCAGCUCGUGUUGUGAAAUGUUGGGUUAAGUCCCGCAACGAGCGCAACCCUUAUCCUUUGUUGCCAGCGGUYMGGCCGGGAACUCAAAGGAGACUGCCAGUGAUAAACUGGAGGAAGGUGGGGAUGACGUCAAGUCAUCAUGGCCCUUACGACCAGGGCUACACACGUGCUACAAUGGCAUAUACAAAGAGAAGCGACCUCGCGAGAGCAAGCGGACCUCAUAAAGUAUGUCGUAGUCCGGAUUGGAGUCUGCAACUCGACUCCAUGAAGUCGGAAUCGCUAGUAAUCGUAGAUCAGAAUGCUACGGUGAAUACGUUCCCGGGCCUUGUACACACCGCCCGUCACACCAUGGGAGUGGGUUGCAAAAGAAGUAGGUAGCUUAACCUUCGGGAGGGCGCUUACCACUUUGUGAUUCAUGACUGGGGUGAAGUCGUAACAAGGUAACCGUAGGGGAACCUGCGGUUGGAUCACCUCCUU